Long non-coding RNA from Stegastes partitus (bicolor damselfish), 560 nucleotides. RefSeq lists it as uncharacterized. Lineage: Eukaryota; Metazoa; Chordata; Actinopteri; Pomacentridae. The transcript has 2 exons. The record is from RefSeq and is a predicted model, not a curated record.
UAUGUAGCUUUUGAUUUUGUACAGCUGCUACCUUGGCCAGGUCUCCCUUGUAAAAGAGACUUCUAAUCUCAGUGGGACUUCCUGGUUAAAUAACGAGAAAUAUAUAAAUUUUUCUGCAAUUUUUUUGAGAGGCACCUGCCUGCAGCCCUCCACGGUCAAGCCUGCGCCGGAACUGACUUGACCAUGGUGCCUCUCAUCAGACCUGCUGAUGUGAACACACCAGUGGAAGGGGACUCGGUUGACGUGCGUAUUCUGCAUGAUUCCAAAUGUGCAGCAGAGUGGGUUGAGGCCAAUCAGAAACUCUUCUCUGCUGUAGUGGACCUGCCUGAUGGUCUGUGCAUGGAGGAGGAGUAACAGGCUGAGGCUGCUCUGCAGUAUAGGAGAGUCUGGGAGGAGAAAAUGGAAAAGAAAGAAAAGGAAGCAAUACCGGAUGUAUUCAAAUUUACAUUCCACAAUAUUGAUGACGUGUUGAAAUUCUGUGAGAUCAUAGUUGAUCAAAAAAUUUGGGGCAUGUUGUCAAUGUCACACUGAUGAAUAAAUAAAAGUAACAGUACAUUUGA